This 1073-nucleotide long non-coding RNA is filed under the name Citrus maxima (pomelo). RNAcentral describes it as "long non-coding RNA (CMAX_LNC002026)". Lineage: Eukaryota; Viridiplantae; Streptophyta; Magnoliopsida; Sapindales; Rutaceae. The record is from RNAcentral.
UUGUGAAAAUUUUAAUAUACUCGCAAGCGCACGAAUCUAGAAAUAGAGAAGUGGUAACGAGGUCGAUCCCACAGGGAUUGUUAUAAAUUGAAAAGUCUAAUUUAAAUCUAAAAUUAAUAUUAAUUCUAACCUAGUUGAGCAAUUUGAGUUUUAAGAGAAAUUAAACUAAUUAAACUAAGAAAACAAUUAAAGCAAAUGAGAAAUCAAUAAGACAAAUUACCAAGGUUUUAGAAUCCACCACUAUUCAACUAGUAAUUAUCUAAUUAUUAAUUAAUCCCCAAUUUUAGAGUGACAACUCGAAAUCAAUCUAUGUCAUCUCAUGGAUAUAACAAUUAAGCCCAAAUAAAAUUAAUCUUAUGUAGGUUCUUUUUCUGCUUAAUAAUAUGACAUCUAAGCAUCCCAUGUAAACAUAUUGAAUAACAAAGAGUCAAAGUUUUCCUAAGCACUCUAUGUAAACAAUUUAAUGAAAGACAUAAAAUCAAAGAUAGUCAUGUAUAAACUUUAUAAAUCCAAGCAUAGAUUUAAUCGAAUAUUAAUCCUAACAAUCAAUAAUGCAUGACAGAAUUGAUGAAAAGAUUUUAUUAACAUCCAAUUAAUCAUGUGAGAUAAAAACCAUAAUCAUCAAAGAACAUAUAUAGGGAAUUAAUUAAAUAAAAAGAGAUAAUUAUUUCAUUAAAUAGGGUUUCAUCCUUAACCUCAGUAUAAGAAAAUUAGCUAGACAUACUUGAAUUGUGAGCAACAAAAGAAAUAAAAUCAGCCAUGGAAGCUGAAAUAUUGCUGCUGCCGAUUGAUCUCUUCCAGCCUUUUGUUUCUGUCCUCUGGCGGCUCCUCUCCUCCAAAAGCCAAGAGUUUAGCUUUCUUAUAUAGCCUUUAAAAUGGACCCCACCUUGCCAAUCCUAAAGCAAAAAGGGUUUGGCCUUUUAUUUGUUUUGCUUCACUCACGUGGCCACUUUGAAUUGUAAUAGGUUUCCUUCUUCCAUUUAUGAAAGCCACGUGGGGUCCCUUCUUAAAGCUAAAAUCAAUUUCUAUCUUUUGUCCGCAUGUGCAUGGGUAGAUGAAUUUGUUGAAUUCGG